UAGGGAAUAUUGGGCAAUGGAGGCAACUCUGACCCCAGCCAUGCCGCGUGAAGGAUGAAGGGGCUCUGCUUGUAAACUUCUUUUGUAUGGGGCGAAAAAAGGGAUUGCGAGGUAAAUUGACGGUACCAUAAGAAUAAGCACCGGCUAACUCCGUGCCAGCAGCCGCGGUAAUACGGAGGGUGCGAGCGUUAUCCGGAAUCACUGGGUUUAAAGGGUGCGUAGGCUGUUUAAUAAGUCAGUGGUGAAAGGCCGUCGCUUAACGAUGGGACUGCCAUUGAUAUUGUUAGACUUGAGUGGGAUUGAGGUAGGGCGGAAUGUAUCAUGUAGCGGUGAAAUGCGUAGAUAUGCUACAGAACACCGAUUGCGAAGGCAAGUUACUAAGUCAUAACUGACGCUAAUGGACGANAGCGUGGGUAGCGAACAGGAUUAGAUACCCUGGUAGUCCACACUGUAAACGAUGAUAACU
This 466-nucleotide ribosomal RNA is filed under the name uncultured Arcicella sp. RNAcentral describes it as "bacterial SSU rRNA". It matches the Rfam family "Bacterial small subunit ribosomal RNA", at positions 355 to 817 of the family's 1533-position model. The record is from RNAcentral. Lineage: Bacteria; Pseudomonadati; Bacteroidota; Cytophagia; Cytophagales; Flectobacillaceae.